CGACGCCACAGCUCCCGGAUGCUGUGGCUCCCUUAUCUGGGCUUCUGCAGCGCCAGAAGCCCCUUCGGGAUGCUGCGAGGGGCUCCCGGUGAGUGGUGGUACAAACGCUGCGGCCGCCGCCGCCAGUCCUGCUGCUGUUGUUGCUGCUGCAGUCACGUGGGAGCCCCUUUAAGUUUCCAUAGAGAGGCCUCUCCGGUGUCACAUGAUGGACAUGAUAUAAUGAAACAACAUUGUGGAGAGGAAAGCAUUAGGGGAGCCCACGGCUACAAAAACAAGUGAGUGAGAAGAGGUGGGAGGAAGAGAAACUACGCCACCUCCCCUGCAGCCGAGCGCACGCAGCAGCCUGGCGUGACAAGUGGGCGACGCCGGGGGGCAGGGAACCGGGGGUCCUUGGCCCUGGCCGGGGACCUCGCCGCCCACCAGCGGAGAAUAAGUUUUAGCCGGCAGCCCCAGCCAGCCCUGCACCUGUCUCCAGCGUCUCCAUCGCUCCUCGUGAUCAUCCAAAGGAAAUUCUCGAAGAAUUUGCUUCACAAAUCUACGUGCGCAUCAUUUUCUCCGCCGCGUCUCGUUCGGGAGGAAGGAACGAGAAAGGGAUUCGAGCGGCGUGCGUUUUGCCCAAAGCAUCACCAAGCAUCCCAGGAAUGCUACUUCUGCUCAGUUCUUGGAUGGAGAGGAAUGGAGGAGGAUUUUUGCCUCACUUGUGUUUUCAGGGAAUCUUUUAACUGGUUAGGAGGAUUGGGGUGUUCGCCAUCUGGAGUUUCUCUGCCUCAUGGAGCCCAGCUCAGAGCUGCCAGUUUGCAGGAGAUGAUUGAUAACAUCCUGUUCACAGCCCAGUGAGUAGAUGCUGCCUGGUUUGUUUUACUGCUUUUAAAAAAAGUAACAUGUUAGAACUUUAAAGUUUUAAAAUCUAAUGCACUUAAUUGGGUUCUUUAAAUUUACUUGUUGAAAACUGGUGGCAGUUACACUGAUAAUUCUUAUUGAGUAUUUAUAAAUAAUGGGGCCCU
RNAcentral lists this long non-coding RNA (1004 nucleotides) under Marmota marmota marmota (Alpine marmot). Its description in RNAcentral is "lncRNA (ENSMMMG00000013194.1)". The record is from RNAcentral. Lineage: Eukaryota; Metazoa; Chordata; Mammalia; Rodentia; Sciuridae.